UACGGGGGGGGCAAGCGUUGUUCGGAAUUACUGGGCGUAAAGGGCGCGUAGGUGGCCAACUAAGUCAGACGUGAAAUCCCUCGGCUUAACCGGGGAACUGCGUCUGAUACUGGAUGGCUUGAGUUUGGGAGAGGGACGCGGAAUUCCAGGUGGUAGCGGUGAAAUGCGUAGAUAUCUGGAGGAACACCGGUGGCGAAGGCGGCGUCCUGGACCAAUACUGACACUGAAACGCGAAAGCCAGGGGAGCAAACGGG
RNAcentral lists this ribosomal RNA (254 nucleotides) under uncultured bacterium. RNAcentral's name for it is "partial 16S ribosomal RNA". It matches the Rfam family "Bacterial small subunit ribosomal RNA", at positions 524 to 776 of the family's 1533-position model. The record is from RNAcentral.